Molecule: transfer RNA, 78 nt
Filed under: Cronartium ribicola 11-2
Lineage: Eukaryota; Fungi; Basidiomycota; Pucciniomycetes; Pucciniales; Coleosporiaceae
Description: tRNA-Ala (AGC) (tRNA-Ala-AGC-59-1)
Rfam family: tRNA
About the family: Transfer RNA (tRNA) molecules are approximately 80 nucleotides in length. Their secondary structure includes four short double-helical elements and three loops (D, anti-codon, and T loops).
Source: RNAcentral
GACCAGAGAGCCUAAUGGUUAAAGGCAGCAUAUCUAGCGUACAUGCUGAGGUCCUGGGUUCAAAUCCCGGUCUGGUCA